This 1018-nucleotide ribosomal RNA is filed under the name uncultured bacterium. RNAcentral's name for it is "bacterial SSU rRNA". It matches the Rfam family "Bacterial small subunit ribosomal RNA", at positions 355 to 1375 of the family's 1533-position model. The record is from RNAcentral.
UGAGGAAUAUUGGUCAAUGGGCGAGAGCCUGAACCAGCCAAGUAGCGUGAAGGAUGAAGGUCCUACGGAUUGUAAACUUCUUUUAUACGGGAAUAAAGUAUCCUACGUGUAGGAUUUUGUAUGUACCGUAUGAAUAAGCAUCGGCUAACUCCGUGCCAGCAGCCGCGGUAAUACGGAGGAUGCGAGCGUUAUCCGGAUUUAUUGGGUUUAAAGGGAGCGCAGACGGGAGAUUAAGUCAGUUGUGAAAGUUUGCGGCUCAACCGUAAAAUUGCAGUUGAUACUGGUUUCCUUGAGUGCAGUUGAGGCAGGCGGAAUUCGUGGUGUAGCGGUGAAAUGCUUAGAUAUCACGAAGAACCCCGAUUGCGAAGGCAGCUUGCUAAACUGUAACUGACGUUCAUGCUCGAAAGUGUGGGUAUCAAACAGGAUUAGAUACCCUGGUAGUCCACACGGUAAACGAUGGAUACUCGCUGUUGGCGAUAUACUGUCAGCGGCCAAGCCGAAAGCAUUAAGUAUCCCACCUGGGGAGUACGCCGGCAACGGUGAAACUCAAAGGAAUUGACGGGGGCCCGCACAAGCGGAGGAACAUGUGGUUUAAUUCGAUGAUACGCGAGGAACCUUACCCGGGCUUAAAUUGCAGACGAAUUACGAGGAAACUUGUAAGCCGCAAGGCGUCUGUGAAGGUGCUGCAUGGUUGUCGUCAGCUCGUGCCGUGAGGUGUCGGCUUAAGUGCCAUAACGAGCGCAACCCUCGUGGUCAGUUACUAACAGGUUAAGCUGAGGACUCUGGCCAGACUGCCAUCGUAAGAUGUGAGGAAGGUGGGGAUGACGUCAAAUCAGCACGGCCCUUACGUCCGGGGCUACACACGUGUUACAAUGGGAGGUACAGAAGGCAGCUACCCGGCGACGGGAUGCCAAUCCCCAAAACCUCUCUCAGUUCGGACUGGAGUCUGCAACCCGACUCCACGAAGCUGGAUUCGCUAGUAAUCGCGCAUCAGCCACGGCGCGGUGAAUACGUUCCC